RNAcentral lists this ribosomal RNA (253 nucleotides) under uncultured bacterium. RNAcentral describes it as "partial 16S ribosomal RNA". It matches the Rfam family "Bacterial small subunit ribosomal RNA", at positions 524 to 776 of the family's 1533-position model. The record is from RNAcentral.
UACAUAGGGUGCGAGCGUUGUCCGGAAUUAUUGGGCGUAAAGGGCUCGUAGGCGGUUUGUCACGUCGGGAGUGAAAACUCAGGGCUUAACCCUGAGCCUGCUUCCGAUACGGGCAGACUAGAGGUAUGCAGGGGAGAAUGGAAUUCCUGGUGUAGCGGUGAAAUGCGCAGAUAUCAGGAGGAACACCGGUGGCGAAGGCGGUUCUCUGGGCAUUACCUGACGCUGAGGAGCGAAAGUGUGGGGAGCGAACAGG